RNAcentral lists this small nuclear RNA (107 nucleotides) under Erinaceus europaeus (western European hedgehog). Lineage: Eukaryota; Metazoa; Chordata; Mammalia; Eulipotyphla; Erinaceidae. The record is from RNAcentral.
GCGCUUCCUUCACCAGCACAUACACUAAAACUGGAAUGAUACAGAGACGAUUAGCAUGGCCCCUGCACAAGGAUGACAUGCAAAUUCGUGAAGUGUUCCAUUUUUUU